AAGAAUUUAGGUUAAAUUAAACCGUUACUGUUCAAAAGUAGAGAUACUCUUUGGUAGUAAGUCUUG
Molecule: transfer RNA, 66 nt
Filed under: Linognathus vituli
Lineage: Eukaryota; Metazoa; Arthropoda; Insecta; Psocodea; Linognathidae
Description: tRNA-Trp
Source: RNAcentral